RNAcentral lists this ribosomal RNA (301 nucleotides) under uncultured bacterium. Its description in RNAcentral is "partial 16S ribosomal RNA". It matches the Rfam family "Bacterial small subunit ribosomal RNA", at positions 509 to 808 of the family's 1533-position model. The record is from RNAcentral.
CAGUAGCCGCGGUAAUACGUAGGUGGCAAGCGUUGUCCGGAAUUAUUGGGCGUAAAGCGCGCGCAGGCGGCUUCCCAAGUCCCUCUUAAAAGUGCGGGGCUUAACCCCGUGAUGGGAAGGAAACUGGGAAGCUGGAGUAUCGGAGAGGAAAGUGGAAUUCCUAGUGUAGCGGUGAAAUGCGUAGAGAUUAGGAAGAACACCGGUGGCGAAGGCGACUCUCUGGUCUGUAACUGACGCUGAGGAGCGAAAGCGUGGGGAGCGAACAGGAUUAGAUACCCCGGUAGUCCCUGUCUCUUAUACA